GAUGAACGCUGGCGGCGUGCUUAACACAUGCAAGUCGAACGGGAAUUAUUUUAUUGAAACUUCGGUCGAUUUAAUUUAAUUCUAGUGGCGGACGGGUGAGUAACGCGUGGGUAACCUGCCUUAUACAGGGGGAUAACAGUCAGAAAUGGCUGCUAAUACCGCAUAAGCGCACAGAGCUGCAUGGCUCAGUGUGAAAAACUCCGGUGGUAUAAGAUGGACCCGCGUUGGAUUAGCUGGUUGGUGGGGUAACGGCCCACCAAGGCGACGAUCCAUAGCCGGCCUGAGAGGGUGAGCGGCCACAUUGGGGCUGAGACACGGCCCAGACUCCUACGGGAGGCAGCAGUGGGGAAUAUUGCACAAUGGGGGAAACCCUGAUGCAGCGACGCCGCGUGAAGGAAGAAGUAUCUCGGUAUGUAAACUUCUAUCAGCAGGGAAGAUAGUGACGGUACCUGACGAAGAAGCCCCGGCUAACUACGUG
This 478-nucleotide ribosomal RNA is filed under the name uncultured bacterium. Its description in RNAcentral is "partial 16S ribosomal RNA". It matches the Rfam family "Bacterial small subunit ribosomal RNA", at positions 28 to 507 of the family's 1533-position model. The record is from RNAcentral.